CGGGAAGCGUCAGCGCGAGCUCGCGGGGAAGGUGGGUGGAGGGUGGGUCCGGGAGGGCGGAGCCGACUGGCUCUGCCACCCCAGACCUUCAGUAACGGUUACUCUGGUGUGACUGUGGGGCUUCCCAGGCGCGCCGGGGGCCUUUGUGGAAAGGUCACCCGAAGGGAGAGGGCGGAGAGAAGUGCGUAGCGGGAGCAGAGCGGCCCAUCCCGGGAGCGGGAGGAGGCGGGACCGAAGCCUGGGGGCGGGGCAGGAGUGGGGCCGGGCCCAGGUCCUGGGGGCGGGGCCGGGCCGCCUGCUCCAGGCCUUAUAUGGUGUGGCGCGCGCGUGUUCUUUUGACUGGCGGGACCUCCGGGUCGCGCGCUUUCUGCUGCGGUAGGGCCUGUGGGCCGACGGUGGGAAAGCGGUUAAGGGCCGGAAUGCCUCUGCAGAGCUGGCGUUGUCUCUGCCAGAGGCGUUUGCAGUUUCGCUGAGUGAGCACUGGCAGGAUGAGGUCCUUUCUCACCGGCGCCGCCCGUCGGGUCCCUGAGGAGCUUGGUUCCCCCUCGCUUCUCAGGCUGGGCCCAGGCCUGCCUUGCGGCCAGGACGCGUUGCUGUGGCGAUGACCCUAGGGAGCCAGGCCGUCAGAUGCUGCACCUGUGCUGUCUCGUUACCUCCUUCUGACACCAGACUGUGGAAAUAACGUGGCCUAAAGCGCGUGGGUUUUAAGUUUUCGAAGGUCCGGGAUCUUAAGCAGUAACUUCAGAAUAUGUUCUGUCAGAAUACUUUUUAACUUUUAGCACUCGUGUGAUCGUUGGCCUGAUGGAUAGCCAGUUCCUCUUACGCUGUUAAAUAUACUUUUACUGCGUUGAUUUUAGAAGUCAAACAGGAAGUCACAGUAACGGCUGUGGUUCUCAACCUUGGCAACACUAGAAUCACCUGGAGGAGUUUUAAAUGUUUGAACGACAGAACCUUUGGGGAUUGAAUUUAGAGCUCAACAUUAUUUAAAAUCUUUGCCCACCAAAUAUAAUGUCAGCAAAGGCUGGGGGCUCCUGAUCCAUAAGGUAGGUUUCUGUUUGUGUGUCAUUUGUGUGUAGGGGGUGUAGUUUUGUUUGGAAAAGUAAAUCACAAUGCUAAACAGUUCAGAUGUAAGAAAUGCUCACUAGAUGAACUAGUAGGUAAAUCAACGAAUGAGCAUCGAUCCCAGUGGUAGAGAGUUUGCCGAACGCUUGCAAGAUCCUGGGUUCAAGCCACAACACUGAAUAAAAAAACUAUUUGAAAAACAUUUAAAAAGUGUAGUUUACUAACGAGGUUGCCAGAUUUAGCAAAUAAAAUGACAGAUUUCCCAGCUAAACUUGAGAUGUAAAGACACAGCUUAUUCAAUUAAAAAAAAAAGUAUCAAAUAUUGCAUGGGACAUAAUUAUACUAAAAUUUAUUCAUUUUCUGUGUUUAAUUCAAAUUUAACUAAGCGACCUGUAUUUUAUCUGGCAUCACUAACUAGUGAUGAGGGGGACUGUGAAGAUUCCCUUGUAAAAGUCAUCAUGUUAUUAAAUAUGUUAAACAAUUCACUGUGAAAUGGUAAUUUAAUCUCUUCUAUCUUCUGCUAUGCAAAACUACCAUAAAACACUCUAUUAUCCUUAGGAAUGAAAUUAAUUUUUCCUUUUCAACCUUUUAUUAAAGUAAUCAUAGAAAUGAAAUGAUUUCUUACAUGGUAUAGGUGUUCCAAGCAUAUAGAAUAUUAAAUCUUCAGUAACUGUUUUUCAGCCAUCGAAUUGUAUUUUCUAGGGCAGUAGUUCUCAACUUGAUUGUUGUGACACCUCUCCCUCCCCCGCCUUGGGAGAUCACAUAUCAGAUAUCCUGCACAUCAGAUAUUUACAUUGCAAAUCAUAGCAGUAGCAAAAUCCAAGUUAUAAGCAGCAAUGAAAAUUAACCUUAUGGUUGGGGGUCACAAUGAGGAACUGUAUUAAAGGGACACAGCAUUAGGAAGGCUGAGAGUAUGCUAAGUGGACGGAUAUCAGACUGCCAUGUAAAGAUGUAUCUUUGUACCAUAGACUGAUGCAGCCCUCAGCCCUCUUUAGAGAAGCUUUUUGCAGUAGACAAGAUUCCAAACUGGCUGACACACACAGAAUAUGUUAUGUAUGACAUGCACAGAAUAUGAUUAUGGUAUGCCUAGCCUCCAAAGGAACAUAUAUGUUACCACAAUAUGACCAUCAAAGCUUAGAGACCAUCAAGGCAUAGGAACCAUCAAGGCUUAGGGACCAUCAAGGCUUAGGGACCAUCAAGGCUUAGGGACCAUCAAGGAAGCAGAAGUGGAAAUGGUACUAACCAGAGGUUAGGGAGAACUGCAGUGAAAAUGCCUUGUGGAUAUGCCAAGGCUGAUGCACUCUCAAACUCCCUGAAACUAUCUUUACCUGCACAGAUACCACAUAAGAUUGAGCCUGUCGAUAUUUACUGAGAAAGGGGGUAGGGCUCAUGACUUCUCAUCCUUCCCUGAAGGAUUAUUGACAGUUAAUGGUGCCUGGGGGGGGGGAGGGGAAGUGUCAGUUUCUUCAAUGGUGUGACUACAGAUACAGUGUUCAUGCUCCAAUAUAUAAACUCCCACCCAUGCUCAACCAAGCAACCUGCAUUAAAGAUUGGAAAGUAGAAAGGAGACUUGGUGAGAAGGGAAAAAGGAUAAAGGGGACUAAAAUUCAGAAUAUGCAUGUAUGAAACCUGUCAAAGAAUGAAAAACAAACAACUAUUUUAUAAAAGACUUAACAAAAACACUGUAAUCCUUUGAAUCGGGGACUAUAUCUUUUGAAUUCUCACUCUAUCCCUAGGAAAUGCGUGGGAAAAAGAAAACAGACCUUUAUUUAGCUUUUUUGAGACAUAUCUGCUCCUAACAGUUCCCGUUGGCGGAUUUAACGAAGAAUUUGAACAUCCCUACCUCCAGGAAAGUGUGCAGCGGCAGGAGACAUUGGGCCACCGAGGAAUUGGGAUGUGUUUCCGCCAAGAUAUCUAGCAGGUGGCACCGAGGUGCUGGACCUAUCAAGGUAAAAGACAGUGAUACUUUUUUUAUUUUUUAUAUUUUUACAACAGCUAUGAGCUUUUAUUUCUCCUUAGCUAUUUUCUACCCUUAUUGGCCAGAUAAAACAACAUUUCUGUUGUUUUAUCAUGAUGGCCUAUUAUUAAUACCCAAUAAAAAUAUUGAACAAUUAAGUCAGAUAACUGAUUAUGUGUCCUAGUUGUCACUAACUGUCAAGUUGACACAACCUAGAAUCACAUGAAGUCAUGAUUGAGUAAUUGAGUUCUUCAGUUUGGAUUGUGGGUGUGCCUGUGAGGAGUUGUUGAUACUUGAUGUAGGAAAUCCCAGCCCACUGUGGGUGGUACUAUUUCCUGGGUAGAUGGUCCUGUGCUAUAUAAGGAAGUUAACUGAGGGAACCAAAAACUGCUCUCCCAAGCCCUUCCUCCAAGGUUCCUAUCUCCAAGUUCCUGCUCUGACUUUGCUCAGUGAUAAAUUAUGGCCUGCAAUCAUAAGCCAAGAAAAGUCUUUCCUCCUCAAGUCACUUUUCAGCAGGGAUUUUAUCACAGCAACAGAACACAACUAGAAUAGCGUGCAAGUAGAAGCAUUGUGGUUCUGGAGCUCUGCUUAAAGAUUCCACACAAGUGCGCCUCACACCUUGGCAAACACCAAGCAAGCAUCCUUCCACAGCCAGGUGGGGAGUUUGUAUGUUCUGAAAUUCAGCGGUGGGCAGGAGGGAUCCCAGGAUGGAUCGGUUGUAGAUCUCGAAUAAAGAAUGGACUAUUCAAAAUGCAAACCAGAGAGCUAGUCAUUGACUUCACACUUCUAAUUUCUCAGACUAAUCUGCUAAGUAAGGUUAUUCACAGAUACUGGCUUAGAGGAACAGUGUCUUCUGUCGCUUAAAGAUAAUGGUUUUCUUCAAAAUUUGUCUAAAUAGCAUAACAAAAAUAUUAAAGGUGUUUGUAUUUGCUUUUUCAUGUUAAAUGGAUUUCAUUUUAAAUUUUAGCCAAGUCUAAAUUUGAUUACUGAUAGGCAAGGAAAAUGAGGCCUAGUCAAAUAGAGCUGUCUAAUUUAUCCUAUCACACAGAAACUAACUGAGCAAAGGCAUAUUUGCACGAACCAUACUGCAUAGGCUGACAGUCAAUAACAAGGGUCAUUUUUCUGACAAGAGGUUUAUUUGGUGCCACAUUGUUUUAUAAGCACUACAAGCCUAACAUUGCCAGAGGCUGAGAUGACACUUGGAGGCCCUGGGAUUUCUCAGCACAUCAGAUACAACUGUGAGUGUGACUACAGAAUACAAUUCAGAUUUUACUCCUCUGGUGAUUAGCCUAAGGAAGUGGUUUGUGUCUGCAGCACCCAGCUCUCUUUGGACUGGCAGGAAUUAUAUUCAUUUACUUUUAAAUUUAGAACAAGAGGGGACAUCUUGCAAUUGGGCUUAUGAUUACUUGUGUCCUAAUUAUAUAAGUCCCAUUUAAAAGGUGUUUUUAGUGUAUUCAUCUCAUAUUUUUUAAUUAGUGUCCAUGGCAGUUACAGGUAUUCUUUGAUAAGGCAGUAGAGUAAAUGUCAGACCAUAGUAGAGGCGAGGGCUUCAGGUUUUGUCUUCUUUGGCUCUUAGUAGCUACAAAACACUUCGCAAACUAUUUUAACCCUCCAACUUUAGUUCCCUUGUUUGUAAAUAGGGGAUAAUAUUUUCCUCCCAAAGCCAUCAUUCCAAUGUUGACGUGUUCCAUCCAGGCCAGCAGCCUGGCCUUUGUCUUACAACAGACACAGCUGGCUGCUGAGAGGACCCUGGGCUGAGGGAACACUUUUCACUCCCUGCCAGCUUUCUUGCAGGGGAGAUUGUUAAUAGCCUACCUUAGUGGACUGACAGCUUGCUCCUAGGACAAGCUCGGUCCUUUUUCCUUGCACCAUUUUGAGUUCUGAGAUCUGUGGCUAGGUCUUUAAAGCCUUUUCAAAGCUCACUGCCCACUGUUUUCUCAGUUAACAUCUGUUUUUUCUUUCUUGUCUUCACAGGUACCUCAGCUAGUGAUGAACAAGUGACCCCAGUGGUCCCCAUGAGUCAGUCCAUCAGGAGCUCUCUGACUUACCCUCUGUUAAUUCAGACUCUGAUCUCUCUAUCUCAACGAGAGAUAGGCAGUUAGACUAUUCAGUGUCUCUGCCUCCAUGGCACUCAGACUGAUCACAUCCACCCCUGCGUCCCACCGCCUCAGGAGCCAGGUUCUGAGAGGCUCUUCCAUUCCCUGUUUAAAAUCUUCCCUCAAUUUGUGCAGUUCAGAUGCAGAAUAUUUCUAUCAAAGUGUCCUGCACAGGUCAUUAGGAAGGGCUUUAUCUACGUGUUGUUGAUGGAUUUCCUCUUCUGUUAACAGUGAAACCUAAUUUUUCUCACAUUACUACCGCAGUCUCCACACUAGCCUAUCUUCCCAUGAGUCCCAAGGGAUCCUAAGAAGGGAUCCCAAGCAAGACCUAAGCUGCACUCUUUCUCUUGUAUCUUGCCAGCUCUAGGAAAUGGCCAGCCAAAACUGCAAUUUCAUCUUCUCCACUACCCAAGUUUCCUGCCCAAUCAUAAAGUAGGCGUAGCAGAAAGUAUAGCAUCUGCACUUCUUUUUGCCAUUGAAAUCCCUGUUACGUCCUCUGGGAAGCUAGCUGAGCUUCGUUUACAUAUCUUAUUGACCACAGCCUUGACUCACUGUGAAGCCACAACCUGUUGAUUAUCACCUCUUGCUUGGCUACUUCCAGAGAUUUCAAUUCCAUCAGCAGUUUGGGGAGCAUCUGCAUACUCGCAUAGUAGACAGCACCAUUCACUAGUGAGGAACGCCACCGGAUGCCACAUUCAGAAAGAUGCUCAUCUUGGGAUUCCUCUGAAGUAUAUUCUAGUCUCAGAUAGUUUGGUCUUGGUUGCCUGUCCUACCACCAAUUGCAGGAGCAUGCAGUCAUCAUUACAGGAAAUAGGUACCCGUGAAGUAUUCAUUUCCAGACUGCUCCCAUUACUAUGCCCUCAUAUGAACAUGCCUUAGUUGAAUGUGUCAGCAUCCACCAUAGGAGUCAUGCACCCACUCUUCCCAAACUUGUAGUAGGUUGUCAGUCCACAUUUGUGUUAUGAGACUUUUUCUAGUGAUGAGGGAGACAUAAUUAUGUAUUCAUUCAAGAUGAGGUAUCAACAACAGACAAGAAUAAUAACCCCACCCAAGUCUGUUAAUGAACCAGUUAGUUUAAUGUAGUUUCUUAGAGGAGUACAUAUGAGUGGCUACAUACAGGAGCAUGGGUGACUCAAAGUAACUGCAUCAACCCCAGCCCUCACCAUGGUUGGUAAAUCCAGAGGGCUGAAUCCCUAGAGUUCUGUGUUCAAUUGUAGGCCAAUCAGUUGACUGGUCAAAAACCUUUUCUGCCAAGGAAAUGUUUCUGUCUUUAUGACCUUAGGAGAAGAGAAGUAUGAGUCUUUGUAAGUUACUGUACUUGGAAAUUUCUUUAGUUCUAGGAGUCUAGGCUAGAAUCUUUUAACCAUGAAGAAAUAUCUACAUAACAAAAUACCUUGUAGAAACGAGGACAAAGGAGCCAAUCUGGUAGCUACUGCCAUGAGCAUAAGUGGCCACAAGUGCAACCUCGAUACUGGCAAUGAACAGAAUAUUUGGGGUACAAAUUUCAAGAAUCACCUCGUCAGGUAGGGCGGUAUCUAUUUAUAUUUGAUCACACCCUAGCAUCCCAGAGAAGGAUCUAUUAGGUAUUACACCACCCAUGACAUAAUAGUAACAAUAAAAUAGAUUUCAAGAAUGGCGGGUCUAUUUUCAUGUUGUCUUUAUGACAGGGACAAUACUACUUUGACCCUCUGUGUCUCUGCAGAGAGUCUAUUUCUGGAAGGACCCUUUGAGACCUCUUGGUGAACCAUGUGCUUUUUGGAUUUCCAGAGUGUGCUUCUUGUAGAACUAACUCUAAAAGUCUCUGGAAAAGCACUGGAUAUAGCCGAGCCUGCUUUAAAAAUUACUCCAAGGCACAGGAGCUGAUUAGAGAUUCUAAAAAGAGCUACAGCAAGUAUUUUUAGGUCUCUUAACCAUGAAAUCUUACUCUGAACAUGAUUUAGUACCAUUCAUAGAGUACGAUGUAGACUUUAGUCACCAGUCACAUUGCUACUAUUUCAUGUAGUUAUUGUUGACAUCUAUUUGUUGAUUCAAAAUUUUGCUUCUUAAAAUUCUUGCCUUUAAAAUUGUUUAGAAAGAAAAGAGGAAUUGUAAGACAUUUCUUAGGGUCUCUGUGUGUAGAGCUUUCAUCUGACCCUACCUCUGAGGCCAGCUGAAGGCAGAUCUCUAAUAUGUUUGGGAAUAAGUGCUUCUCCUCAGGACUGACACCAGAUCCAACUUGCUGCAAUCCAUUCUCUGAUUACUUUAUCAUCCCUUAUGGACUUCCACAACAUCUACCAAUAGUAUUCAAAGUCAGUUAUUCACGUAUCUAGUUUCAUUCCUACUUGUAAAAUUCUAGAGCAAUAACACUAUAAUUAAUCAUCUUCAUGUUUCUAAUAUCUAAUAUCUGACUUUUAGUAGCAAGUUGAAAAAGAGGAUUCUUUCGUGAAUUAUAUACAAUUAAGUUGCACUCUCCCUACAUAUUUCAGCAGUAAAGUUCUGGAAGUUGUGAACAGACACUCAUAAGAACAGGCUGUUUACAUUUCAGGAAUUGAAGCCAGUUGAUUUUGUGAUAGUACGUGACAUUGUGUUAUGAUGGAAAUAUUUGCCCUAAGGGAAUUGAUGAAUACUACAGUUGAGGCUACUUGAUCCUAGAGAGCCAGUUGUAAAACAUCACCAGCACAAUACCAGAUAUGGUUAGAAUGUAUAUGUAUUUAUCCAUUCUACAUGUAUAUAUAUACAUACCUGUAAUCUGGCAAUCUCAGAUGUAGUACCUACUCUUGUUAGCAUAUAUUAAGUGGACAGAAUAAUGGAUUUCACUUUGACAUUGUUAUACAUGUGUAUAAUGUAAUUUGAUCUGUUCACCUCCAUUACCUUUUAAUAGGAUAAAAUAAUUUUUAGAUGUUUAAAAUAAUUUGUAAAUGUUUGAAAAUAAUUUUAAACGAGUAGUCUUAUCUCUCCAUUUAGAUUGCAAAGGAUAGAAAGAACAGGUCUUUCAUUUACUGUCUAAGUGCCUCAAAGUUUAUAGGCACUUGGUAAUUGCGUGGGUGGUGGGAGAAAUCUAUGUCCUAAACAGACUUUGUCUUUUAAGCAGUGGACCUUGGAAUGGGAGGUAGACCUUGAAAAGAAGUGAAUGGGAACUAGAGUAAAAGGCUUUAAGAUAAUCUAACAGUGAGGUUUGUAUUCUUAACUUUGCUUAAAUCAAUAUUUUGCUUCUGAUUUUGUAUUCUCAAAACACAAAUUUAUAAAAAAGUUACAUUCAAAACAAGGACAUAAUCACAGCUUAAAAAUAUAUGAUUUAGGGAUAUACAAUUUGGGCACAUUGAAUGGCAGAAACAUAUUUCUCCUGCUUCAGAACUGCAGGAAAGUGUGCUGGGCUUGAGAAAGUUCCCUAACUUUUUUCAUUCUAAACAUCUCACAUUCAAAGUUAUCCAUUUUCAAGAACAUUGGUUGCCUUAGGUCUACUGAAUGUGAGGAGACUGCAAAAUGUCAGUGAACAAUGUUGUUGUUGCUUCCUUGUUUGCUUGCUUGUUUUAGAGAAAGGUCUCCUGUCAUUUUGCCCUUGAACUGCUAACUGUUUGACUGAGGAUAACCUUGAGCUUCAAAUCUGGGAUUACAGAUGUGUGCCCUCGUAUUCACUCUAGGGACCAAACCCUGGACUCUGUUCAUGCAAGCACUGUACAAACCAAACUCAGUCCUUCAUUGCAACACUUGACCCCACACAAAAUGUUACCUGCAAGAUAUUCCAAGCAGUCUGCUCCUAUUGUUUCAAAAGAAUUUUUGAAAUCAAAUGCUAAAAUCUAAUACUGCUCUGUAUAAUGUUUACAUUCCAUUAUUUUCAAUUAAGUUAUAGUCAACACAGUACAAUAAACACAUUGAAAAGUGUUGUUUCGUGGGGUUUCCAUACAUGUCUCUAUAGACAAACCUCUUUUCUGCCCUUCAUUCUCAGCCCUUCAUUAAAAACUGAACAUGUUGCAGGGGGUAGUUCUAACACCUGUGUACAUUGUGUAAUAUACAAAUAGGCUAAACAUGUCUGUCUUCUCAAACUUUUAUUAUUUCUUCAUAGUAAAACUCCUCAGAGGCCUUGCAUAUGGCCUUUUGGAAUGCACGGCUGUCAUCCAGGACCACCUUAGUGUGCUACAAACCCAAGGACUUCCUGCCUCUGCCUCACCCUCAGCCGUUCAGCCCCACUCCACCUCCCUCCUGCACCUCGGCCUCCAGUCACCAUCGUUCUACUCAACUUUUAGGACACCAACUUGUAAAGGAUGGAUCGUUAACAAUGUAUUUUUUUCCUUAUUUAAAGCGAACAAGAUACAAUUUCUAUUUGGAGACUGAGAUAAAUAUACAUUUAUUUAUAUUAUAUACUUAAUUAAAAUAACAGGUGUUUGCUUUUCAGCACCUGGCAAUAUAUUCUAAUCCUUGAGGAAUAAUCAGCAGCCAUUUGACAUUAUUUACCCUUUACCUACAGUAAAGCUAUAAAUGAAAUGCUAUUCUCUGGAGGAGCUCACAGACUAAGAGCUAUGGGGUCCCGUGCCUUUCAUCUCUCAUACAGUGUGCUUUGCUAUGCAUGCUUUGGUCCUGAACAGAGUGUGGAAAGCCAGCCUACAAUUAGAAAGGAGUUCUUCAUAACCCUUAAAACAUCGUUAGCUCAGCCUAGCUUUAAAAAAAAAAGUUUUCUUUCACCAUGGGCCAUAAAGAGGUAACCACAAAGUCAAAUGUUUUGUUCAAAUGGGACUUUGUAGGUUCUGAACAGAGGGUUUCUGGGGAAGACCUGAAAGACUCUGUUUUUCCACAGUGUAUCUGUGCAGAUGAGGUAGACUUCAGAGGCAGAACUGAGAGUGGUUCUCCUCUGACAGAACGGGGUGCUCUCAUUUCCAAAGUUGUUGUUCAGAUGAGAAGGAAAUUUUAAUGAAAUAAGCUCCCCCAAGAGAGUACUUUCAGAGGGCUGCCUUCCAGGUUUGCUCCCCAACUCUGUUACCACCCCAGUCUGUAAUUCAUACAAGGGUCACUGCUGGUAAGCAGCCUAGAUACUUAAUGAAGACUUGCAAAGGGCAGACAGUAGGCUCACUGCUCACUUAGGAACCAAGCACGACUUUCCGAACGGUAAUUCAAACAUAACAAAAUUCUAAACAUAAUCACAAACAUAAACAUGAGCAUUAUGUGUAAUGUGUAUUCUAUAAACACCCAGGUUUUGGGUGGAUUAAGAUAGUUUUUCUUGGCAUUACUGAGUUUUCUCCUGGACCAUCAGGAAGAGAGCAAGAAAAUGCACGUCCUUCCAGCCAGUUUCAUGGAGGCCCAGGACUUGGUUAAGAAUCAAGCACUCCAUGUACAUGUAAAACAUUGCCCAGUGUAAGAGAAGAGGAAUGGAAAGGAGACUUUAGAGAGCCUUUUUCAGGCCUAUGGAACUUGACUUAAUAAAAAUCAAGCCAGAAACCAAGGCUUCAGCUAAACACACUUUCCAGGGGGCUAUUUCUAGAUGACUUGUUGUCUAGUCUCCUUCCUUUCUGCCUAACCUUGCCUAGCUUAAUACCUAGCUACACCUGUCUACUUUCUCCCCAGCAUAGAUGACAUCAUACUGGUUCACGAUUAAUGACAUUUGAACUGUAAUUCUAUUGCCCCAUAAUUGCAUACUGCCUGGUACUCUUGGCUGUCAGCAUCCCUUCCUGUCCUCACCCUCCCUGUCCCUUAAUGAAACGCACAAAACCUCCACAGAUGAAAGCCUCAAUGACUUCAGUAUCUUAUUCUUAAUAAUUUUGUUCAAUAAAUUACUCCAUCCUUUUAAAAAAGAUUUUCCUUCAACGACAUUUUUAUUCAACGCAUUCCUCCCAAUUUUCUAAGCUUAACAUGGAAGGAAAAGUUUUACAGCUGAGAAUUUGCCUAAGUAUGAUCUUUCUUCUCUGCUAUUCUUUUGAAAUUCUAUUUAAAUAAACUCCGUAAAAUGUU
This is a non-coding RNA of Rattus norvegicus (Norway rat), 11034 nucleotides long. The record is from RefSeq and is a predicted model, not a curated record. NCBI's taxonomy places the organism in Eukaryota, Metazoa, Chordata, Mammalia, Rodentia, Muridae.